GAUGAACGCUGGCGGCGUGCUUAACACAUGCAAGUCGAACGAUUAAGACGGCUUCGGCCGUGUAUAGAGUGGCGAACGGGUGAGUAACACGUGACCAACCUGCCCCGCGCUCCGGGACAACCGCUGGAAACGGCGGCUAAUACCGGAUGCUCCGGGGAGGCCCCAUGGCCUCCCCGGGAAAGCCUUGACGGCGCGGGAUGGGGUCGCGGCCCAUUAGGUAGACGGCGGGGUAACGGCCCACCGUGCCCGCGAUGGGUAGCCGGACUGAGAGGUCGACCGGCCACAUUGGGACUGAGAUACGGCCCAGACUCCUACGGGAGGCAGCAGUGGGGAAUUUUGCGCAAUGGGGGAAACCCUGACGCAGCAACGCCGCGUGCGGGACGAAGGCCUUCGGGUUGUAAACCGCUUUCAGCAGGGAAGACAUAGACGGUAC
Molecule: ribosomal RNA, 433 nt
Filed under: uncultured bacterium
Lineage: Bacteria
Description: bacterial SSU rRNA
Rfam family: Bacterial small subunit ribosomal RNA
Source: RNAcentral